Hypanus sabinus (Atlantic stingray) is the source of this 1888-nucleotide long non-coding RNA. RefSeq lists it as uncharacterized. The record is from RefSeq and is a predicted model, not a curated record. The transcript has 3 exons. NCBI's taxonomy places the organism in Eukaryota, Metazoa, Chordata, Chondrichthyes, Myliobatiformes, Dasyatidae.
AUCUGUCCUGGGACGGACAGUAAGUGCCACUAUAAAGAAGGUGCGGCAGUGACUCUACUUAGAAGUUUGUGUAUAAUCGACAUAACAUCUAAAACUUUGAUAUAACUUAUAUGGAUGCACGGUGGACAGUAUCCUGACUGGUUGCAGCACAGCCUGAUAUGGAAACACCAAAAUCCAGGAACAGAAAAUGCCUACAUAAAAUAGUGGAUACAGCCAAGUUCAUCACAGGCAAAGCCCUCCCAUCGUUGAGUUAAUUUUCAAGGUGUGCUGCUACUGGAAAGCAGCAUCCAUCAUCAAGGGCAGCCUUCCUCUGCUCCAUGCUCGCUGCUGCCAUUGUUGGGAAGGACGUACAGGAGCCUUAAGUCCCACACCACCAUCUUCAGGAAGAGUUAUUACCCUUAAGAGUUAUUAAUCCUGCUGCUGAAACAGUGUGGAUAACUUCACUGAACUGAUUCCAUAAACUACAGAGACACUUUCAAGUAUUCUGCCACUCAUGUUCUCAGUAUUAUUAUUUUUUAUUAUUUGCACAAUCUGUUUUAUUUGGCACAUUUGUUGUCUGUCAGUCUUUACUGUUUAUAGCUUUCAUAAAUUCCAUUGUAUAUAUUUUCCUGUAUAUCCCUGAAAGGAAAUGAAUAUGAAGGUAGUGUAUAGUGACAUAUGCAUACGUUGAUAGUCACUUACUUUGACUGUGACAGUGUUUGUUGGGUUUUCCCCAAAACAGCAAAAGAUUGUUUACAAAAAAAUAUACGAAAUGCAAACAUCAAGUAUUUACGAGACCGUAGAGCGUCAAAUUCUGCAGAUUUUCCCGUGUAGGUGUCAAAUUAAAAUGUGAUUAUUACAGUCUGAAACACAGUCAAUUACGGUGGGAUGGGGGGUGGGGGGUGUCACCGUUCCUGGAUAUUCACCUCUAUACUCAUUCUAUUCACAAUGUUCGAAAGUUUCCCGGCGGCUCCACUGAUUGACUCACGAUCACGUGACAUACGAGAAGCCGACCUGUUGCGCAGUGACGUCAAGGAGGGCAUUCCUGCAGAGACGUCGUUGCCCGGGAAACGAUCACGGACGGUGGGUCUGCCGUGAAGUGGACUCGGUCUCCACUGUGGGAAUCGGCCUCUGCUCUUCCUGCCCACGGAACAGUGAGUGUCUGUCAGCGCCUCACCGCACCGGCUCUCUGCGCCAGACUCCUGCACCUCACCAACCAUAGAUGUGAAGUUAACAGGACCACAGUUACUUGGUUUUGUCUUCCGCCCUAUUUCAACAAUGGAUUUCCACUCCACUGAGACGUUCCUGGCACACAACACAACCUUUAAAUUAUCGUUCUGGAGCUUUCAUGAGGAUCCUACAUCCCUUUGCACCGCCGAUGUUUGAACUUCCUACCCCAUUUAGAUAAGUCUGCACUAUUGUUCCUUUUACCAAAGUGCAUUAUCAGACAUUUCCCAGCACUGUAUUCCAUCUGCCAUUUUCUUGCCCUUUCUGAUUUAUCUAAUUUCUGAUGCAAUUACAUUGCUUCUGCAGCACAACCUACCCCUCCAUCUGUCUUUGUAUCAUUUACAAACUUAACCACAAAGCCAUCAAUUCCACUGUCUAAAUCAUUGACAAACAGUGUGGAAAGUAGUGGUUCCAAUACUGACCACAGAAGAACACCAUUGCACUGGCCGCCAACCAGCAAUGGCUUCCUUUAUUCCCACUCACUGCCUCCUGCCUCAGCCACCCCUCUAUCUCUGCUAGAUUCUUUCCUGUAAUGACAUAGGAAUUUGUUUUGUUAUGCAGUCUCAUGUAUGGCACCUUAUCAAGUGCCUUCUGAAAAUCCAAGCAAGUAACAUCCACUGCCUCUCUUUUGUCCAUCCAGCUUUGUUGUUUACUUGAUCUCUAACAGAUUUCCCGGGCAUGU